CUGGAGGGCAGACAGCCGAGCCAGCCAGUGUUUCCCACAGCCCCAACUUCUCCCGGGUCCUCAGUCCUGCUGCCUCUGGGUGCACGGCGUCGAGCUAGGGUCUUCCAGACCCCGGCAGCUGAACCUCUGCAAUCUAACCCAGGAGGGUAUUUCUAGAGUUGUGCCAGCAGUUUCUGGUCUCGAUGCUUGAAUUCGUUUCCUUCCAUUUUUUCUCCUGGGUUGCAGAGGGUGGGCGAGAAGGUUUUGGCAAUGUGAAUGCUUGGAGAUGUUUUUCCCAAUGAAGACCUUAUUCCUCGGUCGGGCGUGGUGACGCAAGCCUGUAAUCCGAACACUCGAUGGGUGGGGAGGGUGAGACUGGAGGAUCAUAAACUAGUGCCCAGCCUGGGCAACCUAAAGAUUUAGCGCGACCUUGUAAUCAAUCAAGCAGUCAAUCAAUCAAAAGAAAAAACGACCCCGUCUCUUGUGCAACGCGUGUUUAUUUCGGCCUCGAUAAGUACUCAGCGGUUUUCUUUCCAGACUCGGUUACGCAAAAGGAAUCGGUGCCCGGGUACUAUUGGCAAAGCAGGCGCUGGUGAUGCGCAGUGGCGUGACCGCGUGUGAUCCAGCGCGCAGGGGUGGGACGCAGGGAGGCGGGCGUCUCGCCACCCUCUGUUUACGGUCUGCUGGGGACAGCGUGAGAAACGCGCCACCUGCUGGCCGAGCCGCGUCCAGCCCAGAGCUUGGGGCAGAGAAAACCCAGUGGUCUGAUCAGUUUAUUUUAAAUUCUCAGUGAAAUUGAGGAAUACAAAAAUAAAAGAGAAGCAUCUUCGUUUUUGAGCCAUGCAUUUACUAUAUAUUCUUGUCUUGUACUUAUUUUUAUGAUAUGAAUGAAUUUCUGAUAACUUCCUCUCAUCUCAUUUAUGCAGGCUGCUAAAGCGCAUCAGUCAGAACCAUUUUGGAGUUAAGAACAAGGAGGUGCUGCUCCUUCUGUUGCUAUCUUGCCCCCUGCCCUGCUCCGCCCUGAGACAUCCACCCCGCUGACCUACGUAGAGCUAGAUGGAUUUCCUCUGCAUCUAAGCCUUGAAUCUUCUAUGGUGACUUCUUCCUGAGACUUAGGCUCCUGGGGGUCCUGCUGAUGAUACUAUGCUUUCAUGCAAGGAGUGUCAAAAUUUGGUCUCAGAGCCCCCUGAGGGGAGAGGGAAUGCCAAAAGAUUGAGAAUCUGCAUGUACCAACUCCCCACAGGGCAUGUAAUCACUAUGUAUUGCAAAAAAGUACUAAUAAAAAUAAAGAUUGGAAAGAAUCUUAAUGCAAAAUCUCAGGACCCACCCUACUGGGGCAAGAAGCUAUUGGCCUGGGCCCAGCCCUGAGUGUUUUAAUAAGUCCUCGGUAUGCUUUAUUGUACAAAAUAACCGACUCAAAUAAAUGCAUGGUCAAACACUAUGAGACACAUUCCUGGGAUGGGCAGAAAUUCAGGUGUACCACAAAUUACAGUCUGGCCACCAUUCACCAAAACACUAAAAGAGCUGUUACACAUGUUUUUUUCCUGAAUCUUAGUCUUUUGUGAAGAUUCAACAAUGCCCCAAAAGCUAGGAAAUAUUUUAAAAUAAA
Long non-coding RNA from Cavia porcellus (domestic guinea pig), 1588 nucleotides. RefSeq lists it as uncharacterized. The transcript has 2 exons. Lineage: Eukaryota; Metazoa; Chordata; Mammalia; Rodentia; Caviidae. The record is from RefSeq and is a predicted model, not a curated record.